Molecule: ribosomal RNA, 392 nt
Filed under: uncultured organism
Description: bacterial SSU rRNA
Rfam family: Bacterial small subunit ribosomal RNA
Source: RNAcentral
UGCCUAACACAUGCAAGUCGAACGGCAGCACAGCAGAGCUUGCUCUGUGGGUGGCGAGUGGCGGACGGGUGAGUAAUGCAUCGGGACCUACCCAGACGUGGGGGAUAACGUAGGGAAACUUACGCUAAUACCGCAUACGUCCUACGGGAGAAAGCGGGGGACCUUCGGGCCUCGCGCGGUUGGACGGACCGAUGUGCGAUUAGCUAGUUGGCGGGGUAAUGGCCCACCAAGGCCACGAUCGCUAGCUGGUCUGAGAGGAUGAUCAGCCACACUGGAACUGAGACACGGUCCAGACUCCUACGGGAGGCAGCAGUGGGGAAUAUUGGACAAUGGGCGCAAGCCUGAUCCAGCAAUGCCGCGUGUGUGAAGAAGGCCUUCGGGUUGUAAAGCAC